AGUGAACGCUGGCGGUAGGCCUAACACAUGCAAGUCGAACGGCAGCACAGUAAGAGCUUGCUCUUACGGGUGGCGAGUGGCGGACGGGUGAGGAGUACAUCGGAAUCUACUUUUUCGUGGGGGAUAACGUAGGGAAACUUACGCUAAUACCGCAUACGACCUACGGGUGAAAGCAGGGGAUCUUCGGACCUUGCGCGAUUGAAUGAGCCGAUGUCGGAUUAGCUAGUUGGCGGGGUAAAGGCCCACCAAGGCGACGAUCCGUAGCUGGUCUGAGAGGAUGAUCAGCCACACUGGAACUGAGACACGGUCCAGACUCCUACGGGAGGCAGCAGUGGGGAAUAUUGGACAAUGGGCGCAAGCCUGAUCCAGCCAUACCGCGUGUGUGAAGAAGGCCUUCGGGUUGUAAAGCCCUUUUGUUGGGAAAGAAAAGCAGCAGGUUAAUACCCCGCUGUUCUGACGGUACCCAAAGAAUAAGCACCGGCUAACUUCGUG
Molecule: ribosomal RNA, 492 nt
Filed under: uncultured bacterium
Lineage: Bacteria
Description: partial 16S ribosomal RNA
Rfam family: Bacterial small subunit ribosomal RNA
Source: RNAcentral